UACCAUUUGAGUAGGGAUUAAUUUGCCUAUAAAUAUAGGGGUAAUGUACAAUUUUCAUAUCAUCAAUCAUUAUUCUAUUAAUACAAAACAAGUUAUUCCUACAUAUUUCUUAUUUCAGUUCUUAUUAUAAAAAUUUCGUAACGCAUCCGCACCACCUUCAUUUGACACAAUAAGUUGCACUAUCUGUUGGAAACUUCCUGUUGAAAACAAACUUUAAUAAAUAACUUUUUGCCCUCUCAAUAACUUAAUCUUUUGGAUACGGUGCUUCCCGUACAAGAGUAGUCAAAGAAGUUAAGUUUCAGUAUAACCUAUUUAUGAAAAUUGUGCACAUGGUCAAGCCUUCAAUGAGUAAUGAAUUUGGCCUUCAUGUGAGGGGGUGUGUCGAAGAAAAAGAUCUAAAUAAAUAAUUUUCUCUUCUAACAGAUUUAGUUUUUGUGGUUACUUCCGUUGAAGUCUUGAAUCUGGUGGUGCAAGGCAGGUUUUCAUUAAGCUAACCAAAACCAAAUCUGGACGGCAAAAAUAUUUUUAAGUUGAUAUAAAGGAUUGAACAUGGGCAUGCAUAGGAUGAGAGUAGUACUUGAGACACCGACAGGUAAGGCAAUCAAAGAAUCCUCACGGGUGAACUCGGUAGACCAAAUUACUUGAGUUACUUGAUUCAUAAGUUGUUCUCUACUUGAGUUUUGUAUGUAAAGGCUUUCUUUAUUACCUGAGGUGCCUAUCAUUUUAAGUAUAAUGUCGAGCUUUAUUUAUCAGGUAUGCAUUAUGCUCGUAUUAAGAAAUUAGACCCUUUUUUUUUUGAGUAUUAUGCUUAGAUUUUACCAACUUUUGACCUAUUCAUGCUAGCCCGUAUUUCUGAGCUUGUACCUUCUUGAUGCAGGAACGUGAAGUAAAAGCUAAGCAUCAACAACUUAUAAGUAGACCAAAUUACUUGAGUUACUUGAUUCAUAAGUUGUUCUCUACUUGAGUUUUGUAUGUAAAGGCUUUCUUUAUUACCUGGGGUGCCUAUCAUUUUAAGUAUAAUGUCGAGCUUUAUUUAUCAGGUAUGCAUUAUGCUCGUAUUAAGAAAUUAGACCCUUUUUUUUUGAGUAUUAUGCUUAGAUUUUACCAACUUUUGACCUAUUCAUGCUAGCCCGUAUUUCUGAGCUUGUACCUUCUUGAUGCAGG
This 1164-nucleotide long non-coding RNA is filed under the name Olea europaea (common olive). Its description in RNAcentral is "long non-coding RNA (OEUR_LNC006542)". Lineage: Eukaryota; Viridiplantae; Streptophyta; Magnoliopsida; Lamiales; Oleaceae. The record is from RNAcentral.